AUUACGUCCCUGCCCUUUGUACACACCGCCCGUCGCUACUACCGAUUGAAUGGCUUAGUGAGACUUUCGGAUGUGUUUGGAGCCGCUGGCAACAGUGACACCUUGCGCAGAAGUUAUUCAAACUUGGUCAUUUGGAGGAAGUAAAAGUCGUAACAAGGUUUCCGUAGGUGAACCUGCGGAAGGAUCAUUA
This 190-nucleotide ribosomal RNA is filed under the name uncultured Paraglomus. RNAcentral describes it as "partial 18S ribosomal RNA". It matches the Rfam family "Eukaryotic small subunit ribosomal RNA", at positions 1644 to 1831 of the family's 1831-position model. The record is from RNAcentral. Lineage: Eukaryota; Fungi; Glomeromycota; Glomeromycetes; Paraglomerales; Paraglomeraceae.